UUUUAUUUUGCAAGAUCUACAACUUUCAUGUUGGAAGUUUUUUGAGUUGUGUAGGUGAAAUUUUGAGUUCUCACCAUGCCUUCAAAAACCCUAAUUCCCGACUUUUUGCUCCUUGAUGAAUUUCUUUGAAUUUCUUUGGUCAAAUGACUUUGACAUCCAUAUAUUGAUGAUAUUGAUCUUUGAAAGUCAUUUUUUGACCAAAAACCUUAAAAGUCAAUGAUGAUCCCACACAGUUGACUUUUCCUGACAAAGUGAAUUUUUUGGGCUUUUGUGUAGAAACAAGAUCUUUUCCUCAAAUGAAUGGUGUAAAUGGAUUAUAUUGAGGUAGUAGAGAUUCUUGAAUCAUGUCUUGAGUUUUGGAUCCAUGCCCUGAUUAAAAGUCAACUAUCUUGGUGAAUUAGGUCAAAAACCCUAAUUGUCGAUCAGAGGACAAUGAUGACUGUAGACUUUGAACUGAGGUGUAAUGUCCAGUGGAUCUUGUCAUAUGAGUUGUUUGAAGAUGAUUGAUGUCUUUGAAUGGUCCCUUAGGGCUUUUUAGGGUUUCCCAAAGGUGAUCCCUGAUUUUAGUCCUUGAUAGGCUCCAAACCCUAGUCUGUUGAUCUGAGUAAUCCUGUACUUAGGUGACUGGGUGUCUUAAUCAAUCAUAGGUGUAAUAAUGAGGCUUUUGAGUCUUAUGAUUGUAUUAGAGACUAAUCCCUCUAUUGAUUGAUCCUUUGCCUGAGUUUUCUUGUCUUUGAACACCCUUGAUUGAAUGUUAGGCUGUUCUGGAUACUUGCUUCGACUUGAUGAAAAAUCCUGAAGAUAUGUCAUCUCAGGGGGGGUCAAAAAUUAGGGUAUGACAGAUGCCCCUUGUCGCGGCCGGCAAAAAUUAACAGAGUCGCCAUCGAUAUUUAUUUGUUCCUAAAGAACGGGGAAAAUGUCGAAUAAAACCCAUAAAGGAAAGGGAAUGGUCAUCGCAACCAUAUCGGGUUCGGGAGUCGGUUACGCGAGGGGAAGGUAUUAGCACCCCUCACGUCUGUUGUACUCAACGGGACCCAUUUAGUUAGUUAUGCGUUUGAGUUUUAGUGUGAAUUAUUUGCUAUCUUCUACUUAGUGAGCGAGAAAAAAAAAAUAAAAGACGGGUUUUUGUUUUUUAGUUUAUUGGGCUCGCCAAGACAUCGUGUCUUGUGCCUACGUAUUCCCUCGUGCAAUGGGAAAGUCAGAGCUCCGUAGUUCGGGGUAAAAAAACCACGGGUUUGUUGGUUGAUUUUAGAAGAAUGAUGCAUUAGACAUUUCGAACGUUUGAACUUUGACUUGUUUGCUCGUCUGAGAGGCUAAGUCUAUUUGUUCGUUCUUCGUGUCGAAAUGGCUAAGACACAUUCGUUUUGAAAAUAUUUUCGAAGAGUCGCACAAGGGCGAAAAAAGAAGUUUGAUGAGUUUAAGUUGUUUUUUAUGUGAGUGACAAGUAUUGGAUCACAAGUCUAGAACAACAAACGAUCCAGUUACUAGGAAUCAGAGGAACAAAAUGUGUUCAACCAAUUGUUUUCACCCAAAAGUUUUCUUUAUUAAAAUGGUGAGGUGAAACAAGGUUCACUUAUUAGAGUUUAUUGUGCAUGGAGGACAAAUAUUAAACCAUAAGUCUAAAACAACCAACGGUGUAAUACUUGGAAAUGGAGGAACAAAUGGUGUUCAACCAAUCUUUUUCACACCAAGUUUAUUAAAAAUAUUUUGAAGAAAAAAGAGCCACACAAAUGUUUAUGAGAAAUAUUUUAAUCAAGUACGUAUUAGCAACAAACUACCAAAUAAAUAAACUAAAAAAAAUGUGAUAAAAAAUAACGUGAGACGAUAAAAAUAAAUAAAGGUAAUAUCAGCCAUACAAAUAAAACUUAAACCUAUUUCUAAAAGCACUCCCUUAAUUAAAUUAUAAAAUUAAUUAUUUGAAAUCUAAUUCUAAUUAAUAAUUAUAAAUAUAAUUAAACUAUGAACUACUGUAUUGAUAUUUUUCCAAGCAAAAGAAAAGUGGUUAAGUUUAUAUUGAUGAAUCGUAAAAAUCUGCCAGAAUUCAAAUCCUCCUCUACAACUCUCAAUUUUCGCUCUCCUCUCUAUUUUCUCUCUCACAUAAAGCUCGUUGGGAAACAGGCCGACCGCCGCGCCGGAAAUCUCCCUACGGCGGCGGCAGCGCCGGUCUACGGCCGACUAUCAAAAUUCGACACCCUCCCCACUAAUUCCUAUCUUCUAAACCCAAAUAUGGCAUCAGACUCUCCUAAUUUCAAGCCUAAACCCUUCAAAUCAGAAUAAAACUUUGAACCCUAAAUUCAAAAAAAUCUUAAAUCGAACUCUGUCCCUGAAGCUAAUUAGCAAAUCCUAUCGGAUCUAAGAUUAUACACACAGAUACACACAACAUGGCAUGGAAAAAACAAGAAGAGAAUGAAUCAAGGUACCUGGUUCGACGGCGCCGGCGAGUCUCUUCGGUUUGGAACUUUGGAGAUGUCAUACGGGAUGCGCAUCCUCGGAACUCUUUCUUUAGAUUAACUCAAAGAUAGCUACCAAUGUUAACCAAAUGACUCAAGGAACAGCUUAUUCAAAUUUGUAAGAAAUUGAUUCAGUGUAGCAAGCUGUAACGAAAUUGAUUCAAAUCUUUAUUUUGAAGUCCAUGUAGCUCAAUGUAACAAGAUAAUUCAAAGAGUUUGUAAUGAAAAUUCAAUUUCGUAUUAUUUCCCAUGACUUGAACUUGUAAUAGAGAUUCAAAUAGGCAUUCCUUUUA
Molecule: long non-coding RNA, 2743 nt
Organism: Vicia villosa (hairy vetch)
Lineage: Eukaryota; Viridiplantae; Streptophyta; Magnoliopsida; Fabales; Fabaceae
Exons: 2
Source: RefSeq, a predicted model, not a curated record